This 246-nucleotide long non-coding RNA is filed under the name Prunus persica (peach). RNAcentral's name for it is "long non-coding RNA (PPER_LNC003401)". Lineage: Eukaryota; Viridiplantae; Streptophyta; Magnoliopsida; Rosales; Rosaceae. The record is from RNAcentral.
UGGGUAUCAUCAUACUAUGAUGGGUCGAGUCAUUUGGUUGCUUUUGGGUGAAAUCCAAUGGGUAAAACUAUGCAAUACACCGACCACUCUAUUUCAUAACGAACUUCGUACGGAAUUGUAUUGUCCAAUUUCAUGGACCAAUCGAUAUCGAAUUUAGUCCAAAACCUGGGGAUCAUCAUAAUACGGUGGGAGGAGUCAGUUGGUGGGUUUUGAGUGCAAUCCAAUCUUUACAUCUAUGCAAUACAC